UUUGCUACAGCCCACAUCCA
Molecule: unclassified non-coding RNA, 20 nt
Filed under: Mus musculus (house mouse)
Lineage: Eukaryota; Metazoa; Chordata; Mammalia; Rodentia; Muridae
Description: oocyte_clustered_small_RNA5447
Source: RNAcentral